Molecule: non-coding RNA, 34 nt
Organism: Trichobilharzia regenti
Lineage: Eukaryota; Metazoa; Platyhelminthes; Trematoda; Strigeidida; Schistosomatidae
Source: Rfam
GAGUCCCAAAUAGGACGAAAUGCGCAUCCUGGAU